AUGGCGCCGGCGAGCGCCCCCUGCAUCGACCACGGGCGUCGGCCGAGGACCAGCCACAAGGUGAUCGCUUCCACCCCGGAGAUGGAGCAGCAGGUCUUCCUGCUGCAGCAGCACGCGGUGGUGGUCACCGCGAUGUCGAAGCUGCACGCGGCCAGCCCCCUCUCCAUCGGCCGGGCCAUCGAGCGGGAGUUUCAGAUCCCCCCGCACCUCCUCCGCGUCACCAGCCAUGAUCUCGAAGAUUUCUUCGUCCACUUCACCAUGCCGACGCACAAGGAUCUCGCCGUCCGUCGCGGCUCGAUC
This 300-nucleotide ribosomal RNA is filed under the name Triticum aestivum (bread wheat). RNAcentral's name for it is "partial small subunit ribosomal RNA". Lineage: Eukaryota; Viridiplantae; Streptophyta; Magnoliopsida; Poales; Poaceae. The record is from RNAcentral.